This 449-nucleotide ribosomal RNA is filed under the name uncultured bacterium. Its description in RNAcentral is "bacterial SSU rRNA". It matches the Rfam family "Bacterial small subunit ribosomal RNA", at positions 29 to 506 of the family's 1533-position model. The record is from RNAcentral.
AUGAACGCUGGCGGCGUGCUUAACACAUGCAAGUCAAGGGUGGCAACACACUGGCGAAAGGGUGAGUAACGCGUAGAUAAUCUGCCUCUUACUCUGACAUAACCCCGAGAAAUUGGGGCUAAUAUCAGGCGAGGUGCUUCGGCAUCAUAGUCUUCGGACGGUAUGAGAUGAGUCUGCGUCUGAUUAGCUAGUUGGUAAGGUAAUGGCUUACCAAGGCAACGAUCAGUAGCUGGUCUGAGAGGACGAUCAGCCACAUUGGAACUGAGACACGGUCCAAACUCCUACGGGAGGCAGCAGUGAGGAAUUUUGCACAAUGGAGGAAACUCUGAUGCAGCGACGCCGCGUGAAGGAUGAAGGAGCUCUGCUUCGUAAACUUCUGUCGGAUGGGAAUAAAAGUUCGUUUUACGGACUGGGAAUGUACCAUCAAAGGAAAGACCGGCUAACUACGU